GACGAACGCUGGCGGCGUGCUUAACACAUGCAAGUCGAGCGGUAAGGCCUCUUCGGGGGUACACGAGCGGCGAACGGGUGAGUAACACGUGGGUGACCUGCCCUCAGCUCUGGGAUAAGCCUGGGAAACUGGGUCUAAUACCGGAUAUGACCUUUCCUCGCAUGGGGUUUGGUGGAAAGUUUUUUCGGCUGGGGAUGGGCCCGCGGCCUAUCAGCUUGUUGGUGGGGUGAUGGCCUACCAAGGCGACGACGGGUAGCCGGCCUGAGAGGGCGACCGGCCACACUGGGACUGAGACACGGCCCAGACUCCUACGGGAGGCAGCAGUGGGGAAUAUUGCGCAAUGGGCGGAAGCCUGACGCAGCGACGCCGCGUGGGGGAUGACGGCCUUCGGGUUGUAAACCUCUUUCGACCCCGACGAAUUUGGAUGGUAGGGGUAGAAGAAGCACCGGCCGACUACGUG
RNAcentral lists this ribosomal RNA (460 nucleotides) under uncultured bacterium. RNAcentral's name for it is "partial 16S ribosomal RNA". It matches the Rfam family "Bacterial small subunit ribosomal RNA", at positions 28 to 507 of the family's 1533-position model. The record is from RNAcentral.